Molecule: transfer RNA, 73 nt
Filed under: Bos taurus (domestic cattle)
Lineage: Eukaryota; Metazoa; Chordata; Mammalia; Artiodactyla; Bovidae
Also listed under: 4 other names
Rfam family: tRNA
About the family: Transfer RNA (tRNA) molecules are approximately 80 nucleotides in length.
Source: Rfam by way of RNAcentral
UCCCUGAGGGUCCAGUGGUUAGGACUCCACAUUUUCAUUGCCAAGGACCCAGGUUCAACUCCUAGUUGGGGAA